This 451-nucleotide unclassified non-coding RNA is filed under the name Hevea brasiliensis (rubber tree). The record is from RNAcentral. Lineage: Eukaryota; Viridiplantae; Streptophyta; Magnoliopsida; Malpighiales; Euphorbiaceae.
GCUGAUCUACCCACUAAUUAACACUGAGAGGUGAGCCAGACACAAGAAUUAGACGCUACUGAUUCAGCCAUCAAGAUUUAUUCAAGUGUACAUGGCUUGGAACGAACUUGACCCGNNNNNNNNNUUUUUAACUUGGAAAUAGCUGCUUGUGACUUACUGAGCAUAAGAUCCACAUAAACUGCGGUCAAAGUGGCCUCAGGACUGUCAGGUAUAAGAGACAAUGCUUGGGUCACAAAAUGGUGUGCCCGCUCAAGCUCACCUUGUGCUGCAUGCAUGGUUGCAAAAUUGGCAUAAAGGAUACCUUGCGCCUCUUCUGGUUUGAGGAACACAAAACCUUGUGAUUCCUCAGGGGAAGAAAUCUUGGCACUGGUUGAUCCUCCAUUGGUAUCUUCACAAUCGUAAGUUUUCUCCACUCGCCAUUCCUCACAGUCCUCCUGGCUGAAGGGCAACU